AUCAUAAAGUAAGCAGCACAGAAGACUCAGUGGCUGAAAAUGAAAGGAUGAGGACUUGAACUCAAAUACCCUGAGAUGAUGAAAGUUCCUACCUUCUGGGCAGAGGAUGGCAAACUACAGCCCAUGGGCUGGAACCGGUGUCAGGCUUUCAAUCCGGUCAGCGGGACUGCCAGCCCCCUGGCGCAGCAGGACUAAGGCAGGCUCCCUGAUUGCCCUGGCCCUGCGCCACUCCCGGAAGCGGCCAGCACCACAUCCCUGAGGCUGCUGAGGGGGCAGAGGGGUCCGUGCGCUGCCCUCGCCUUCAGGCACCGCCCCCCACAGCUUCCAUUGGCUGGUAAUGGGGAACCGCGGCCAAUGGGGGCUUCGGGGGUGGUACACACAGGCAAGGCAUCACGCGGCAGAGCCACUUGCUCCACCCCACCCCCAGGAGCCCCUGCUGCACAUGUUAGCCACUUCCGGGAGCAGUGCGGGGCCAGGGUAGGCAGUAGGAGCCUGCCUUAGCCCUACUAUGCGCUGCUGCCACCCCAAAGCCACUCGAGGACUGGCUCCAGGUAUGUUGGUGCUUCAGGUGAAGACAGGAUUUGGUGCCACUGGCUGUGCUCCACAGCUGGGCUGACUGGAAGACAAGAAUUCCAUUUCACAAAAAAUGGCAAGGUUUCAGUAGCUGGUUUUGUUCCACAAAAUGAAAUGAAAUGAAAACUAGGCCUUUUGAAUUUUUUUAUGAAAAACAGUUGAGCGUUGUCCCAGAAUAAUCAAUACCUAAGUGGUCAGGGAAUUCACCUGGAUGUGGGAAAGCUGCAAAUAAGGCAGAGCAAGGACUUGAACCUGGGUCUUCCAUAGUCCCAGGGAGUGCCAUGACCACUGACUGGGCUAUUGGCUAUUCUGGGGUGAAACACUCUGGCUGUCUCUCCCUUCCCCUUAAAUCCUGGGCAAUAAACCUCACCAGAAAUGUUUUUUUAUCAAAACUGCACAUUUCUGCAAAAAGUUUCAAUUUCAAUGAAAAAAUAUUGUAUCGAAAAAUCCGUGACCAGCUCCACUCCAGAAUCCUUUGUAUAGCUAUAGCAGAGCUCUCCCAGGGAGGGGAAAACCGUCUUGUGGUCCCUCUUGCCUGAAGAUGAAUGAUUGCAAUAAGGCCAUGACCCUCGUGAUAGUGGCAUCGUAAGCAACCACCCCUGACGACAUCACAAUCUGAUCUCACACGGGUGAGAAUCGAGUCAUUCCAAACCAAAGUCAAUGAAGUUACACACAUGUACAUUAUGUUUAAGUCUGGCCCAGUGGGAGGUGGGGCAUUGUGUUUGUACAACACCUAGGGCAACAUGGUCCCAGUCCAUAACUAGAGCCCCUGAGCUCUAUGGUAAUACAAAUAAAUAAAUCCAAACAAACGAACCUAAAAUCAGCCUACACCUAAAACUAGCCUCACUCUUUCCCAGGCUGUCUCCAUUCCCUUGCAAGGUCUCCUUAUUGUGAAUGCCACUAAUUUCACAUUCUACUUACAAAGGGACCCAAUACUGCAAGGUACUGAAUGCCUCCGCCUCAUUGGAUCAGAUUCUGAUCUGAUGUACACAUAUGUAACUUCACUGACUUCGGUUUGGAAUUACUUCUGAUUGACACCAGUGUGGGAUUAGAAUUGGGUUCACUGAGUUUAAUGGAAGUUGAAGGCAGUUGGCACCAACCAGAAUGCAUUUAAUACCAUGCAGGAUUGAGCCCAAAGUGCUGUUCACUUGCAACAAAACUCCUGAAACUGCCCAGUCAAAAAGUGAAUUGUUUGCAUUUGGUUGGAACACAACUUAUACUUUGCCAGUGUUUUGCUUUGCUCUCUCUCUAUUAACUUCCUCCUACUGCUCCUCUGACAGCCAAUUAUUUCAGCUAUCCUUUAAGAAAACAGGACUUGCGCUAUACUCAGGUAAAUUUACUUGUAGUAUGCUUAACAAACCAU
Long non-coding RNA from Caretta caretta (loggerhead turtle), 1936 nucleotides. RefSeq lists it as uncharacterized. NCBI's taxonomy places the organism in Eukaryota, Metazoa, Chordata, Testudines, Cheloniidae. The record is from RefSeq and is a predicted model, not a curated record.